This 503-nucleotide ribosomal RNA is filed under the name uncultured bacterium. RNAcentral's name for it is "partial 16S ribosomal RNA". It matches the Rfam family "Bacterial small subunit ribosomal RNA", at positions 30 to 523 of the family's 1533-position model. The record is from RNAcentral.
AUUGAACGCUGGCGGCAGGCUUAACACAUGCAAGUCGAGCGGGGUGAUGGUGCUUGCACUAUCACUUAGCGGCGGACGGGUGAGUAAUGCUUAGGAAUCUGCCUAUUAGUGGGGGACAACAUCUCGAAAGGGAUGCUAAUACCGCACACGUCCUACGGGAGAAAGCAGGGGAUCACUUGUGACCUUGCGCUAAUAGAUGAGCCUAAGCCGGAUUAGCUAGCUGGUGGGGUAAAGGCCGACCAAGGCGACGAUCUGUAGCGGGUCUGGGAGGAUGAUCCGACACACUGGGACUGAGACACGGCCCAGACUCCUACGGGAGGCAGCAGUGGGGAAUAUUGGACAAUGGGGGGAACCCUGAUCCAGCCAUGCCGCGUGUGUGAAGAAGGCCUUAUGGUUGUAAAGCACUUUAAGCGAGGAGGAGGCUCUUUUGGUUAAUACCCAAGAUGAGUGGACGUUACUCGCAGAAUAAGCACCGGCUAACUCUGUGCCAGCCGCCGCAGUAA